GUGCUUGCUUCGGCAGCACAUACACUAAAACCGGAAUGACAGAGAUUAGCAUGACCCCUGCGCAAGGAUGAUACACAAAUUCGUGAAGCGUUCAGUACUUCU
Small nuclear RNA from Alexandromys fortis (reed vole), 102 nucleotides. NCBI's taxonomy places the organism in Eukaryota, Metazoa, Chordata, Mammalia, Rodentia, Cricetidae. The record is from RefSeq and is a predicted model, not a curated record.